AACAGUAAAAGUUUAUGUGCUG
Molecule: microRNA, 22 nt
Filed under: Microcaecilia unicolor
Lineage: Eukaryota; Metazoa; Chordata; Amphibia; Gymnophiona; Siphonopidae
Description: Mun-Mir-2184_5p (mature (guide))
Source: RNAcentral